CAGGCUCUAGAUCUGAGGGGAAAUAGAUGCUGCUGGCCUAGAAAUUCCGGACUUAAUACCAGUGUCCAGCUUGAUAGCCAAGCCACCUUGUUCGUGGCUUGGGGGCCCCACCUUCGUGCAUCAACUGGCUCUCACCCUAGUCUUCCUUCCAUCCGUUGGCUUUUUCACAUAUUCCUAUCACAUUUCCCGAAGAUAUAGCCUUUUGUGGCAUUAAACCAACUGGAAUGAACUACUGGACUGGGGUUCGUGCCCAUCUCUAAUCUGUGAACACCGCAAACCCCUUUAAGAAAUAGGUUUCAAUAAGAACCUUUGCUGAAGGCAUUCUGAGUCAUCCUGGGCUUGGUGAUUUGUGCUGUUCUUCUGAACUGGUUACGUUCCUUUGAUGAAGGAAAAACACACAGGACAAACCCACUGAUUUCAUUGAUUUAAAGCAAUGUCUGAAUGGAAUACCACCUGGUUCCAUGUGGAAACACCUCUGGACAUGAUAGAGAAAGAAUGAGUGGGACCUCAUGAAGGUUCUUUCCCCCUCCGACCUCCUUUACAUGGAUAUUUAAAAUGGGUUGGAUAAAAUCACCUAGAAGAUUUGCAGAAAUAGAGAGCACUGUCUGUCAUAAUGACUAUGUAAGAAUAUAUGAAGCAUCAUCAGCCUGACAACUUCCCACUAUGGAUUAUGCUUAAUGGGUGAACUCUGCCCAGAAUGACAUACUUCAUAAUGAACUAGCCACGCAAUCAUUUUAAUACAGCUCCAGAACCCAGAUCGCAUCUUACCGCAUCCUUGAAGUUCCAGAUACAACUUCUGAGUUACGACCUGCAGAUGUGAUGGCAUGGAAAUGGUCUCAUCAAUGGCUUAUUACAUGAUGUAUUGACUCUAACAUAUAAAAAAUGAGUGGAAGAAUGAGU
Molecule: non-coding RNA, 900 nt
Organism: Pogona vitticeps (central bearded dragon)
Lineage: Eukaryota; Metazoa; Chordata; Lepidosauria; Squamata; Agamidae
Source: RefSeq, a predicted model, not a curated record